UUUGUCACGGAUCAUCAUUGAUAUUUUGUGUGGUUUUUUAUCACUAAAAUGCAUCUUUUUGUAACUGUUUGGCUACUAGAAACUGCUUAAACAAAUGAAAAAAAAAAAUAGUUUUUUUCACACAUCUUUGACCAAGUUUUACGUACUCGUACGUUUAGUUGAUCAUAUAAAAUAUUUUGCCUUACCCGCGAAUGCCUUCGUCUCGAUAGAAACGUCAUCCAUUAUUAAAAUAUGUUUUUUUGCUUUUAAAGUUUUGGCCGAUUUAGUAAACAUUCAAUCUGUUCUUGCUACUGGCUGGAGAAGUUUUGUCAAAAUUUUAAUCUUGCAAUUUUAGUAUUGUAUCUCGUACAAGCUUCUGGCCUGCGCCAGCCAAUAGGAUCCAGCAAAGGCAUGGUUCCCUUUGACUGUGUAGUGUGACCUACAUCCUUCGUAACUGAAAAUAUUUGGCUAUUUUAUUGCUUCAACAUUACAAAAAAAAAUUUCAUCUGUUUGUUAAAUUUUUGUUUCAGGUGUUGGAACAAGCUACUACAUGGAGGUGAAGCAUCAAUUUAGGACUUGACUUGUCAACUGUUGGUUGAGAUGGCAAAAGAGGAUGGAUUGCCAAUAUAGGACCAAAAUUUCAUUUUCUCACUUGUCUAUGGAAUCCUAGAUGCUCACAGUUCUGGGUUGCUCAGUAGUAGCGGAACAUUCUUAUCUGAUCAGGCCACAAAUAACACAUGACAAAUCUAUCCACAUCAAACAUGGAGCUGAUUACCAUAUUGUUCAUAGAAUAUGUAUGCCUGAAGAUAGAUUGGAUUAGAGGCAUGUUGGAGUGAUAUUCCAGAAAGCAGCAUCCCAAGGGCUAGAAUCUGAAGUUAAAAGGCCGGUCAACACAAUAUGUAUUUUUUAACUUUGUUUUCUUUCAUUGGUGGUGAAAUUGAAUUAAAUUAAAAUUGAAAGUUA
Long non-coding RNA from Daphnia magna, 942 nucleotides. RefSeq lists it as uncharacterized. The transcript has 3 exons. NCBI's taxonomy places the organism in Eukaryota, Metazoa, Arthropoda, Branchiopoda, Diplostraca, Daphniidae. The record is from RefSeq and is a predicted model, not a curated record.